Molecule: long non-coding RNA, 1504 nt
Filed under: Homo sapiens (human)
Lineage: Eukaryota; Metazoa; Chordata; Mammalia; Primates; Hominidae
Description: HSALNT0372712
Source: RNAcentral
AGACAAAUUGAGAUGGCUAGUAUGGAUGACUCUUCUGAGGGUUUUUGCCAGAAAUGGGAUAAAAACAUAGGGCAGUAGCUGGUGGGGGGUGGAGAAGUAUCUUGAAGGUAGAAAGGCCAAGUAUGUGGAUGCAGGUCCUGUGGAAACUUAUUUCUGAUGUAUUCAUUUUUCUCAUUAAAAUACAAAAUAAAUAUCAGUUGCAGGUAUGGACAGGGAAAAAGGGGUUGCAGGUUUUAGUGGGGAGGAGCGAUCACCUAGGAGGGGGACAUGAGAGAAGGGACUGGGGGGUGGGUUGUGACUGCCGGGGACAUCACAGGUCCACUUGAGGUUCUCAGUCAUGAAAGUAAAAUGUGAUCAGGCAGCAUGGUUGUGUUGAAAUCCAAGUUUUAAAAAACUCUACAGAGAAUCACUGCUCCCAGUCACAGAACUGAUUUACUUGGCUGUGAUCUCCCUUCAUUUUUAAAUAUCCUUUCAUUGAUAUAUAACAUAUAGAGAAAAAUAUGCAAAUUAAAAAAAAAAAUUUUAACUGUCUCUCCUUUGAAUGGUGAUAAAAGGGAAAUUGCCAGUUGAACUAGAGAGAGAGAGAGAGAGAGAAUAAGCAAGCUUUGAUAAUGAGCCCUGAAAAACCAAGAGCGCCUUCCAGUUCUGUCUUUACCACUUUCAGGUCCAGUCACUGGUCUGCAGUAACCAUUUUGUGCAAGACACUGUCCUGGGCAUGAAGGGGUGAACAAAAGGUCAAGUUUCUUCCUUUGUGGAAGGGAAAAUGAUUUUUCAGUGCUUCCCGUGUGACUGGAGUGCCAGAACCUCUCUAGAUCCGAGUAUUCAGUUGUGAACCCUGAGGGAAUGCACUGAUUUGGAUUCAUCUGAAGGCAUCUGGUUGGUGUGAGAGUUGACCUGUGUUUACAGGAAGGUAGAGGCCAUGUUCUCUCCCUCUCAGGUCUCAGGAGCUACGCUGGGGUGUGGGCUCUGUGCCCCGCUGAGCUCUGCCUGGGGCUCUGGAGGCUGAGUGUAAGUGUGGCACCAUCACUCAGCUCCUUUCUUGUUUUUCAGGGUUGGGGUGCUGAGUAUCAUCGCCAGGAUGUCACCAGCACCCCCUGCUGGAUUGAGAUUCAUCUUCAUGGGCCACUGCAGUGGCUGGACAAAGUUCUGACUCAGAUGGGCUCUCCACAUAACCCCAUUUCUUCAGUGUCUUAACAGUCAUGUCUUAAGCUGCAUUUCCAUAGGAUAGAGGCUAUUGCAGGGAGUGGCUUGUAUCAUUUCAGAUUUGCAACUGAAGUUUCUAAAAACAUGUGUAAAUACAUAGAAUGUAUACUGUUCUUAUUUUUUUUAAUCACCGUUUGUUUUGUGCUUUCUAGUUAACCUGAUGCCAGUACAGUGCAAUUGGAAAAGCAGGACUUUGGUGCCUGUGCUAUAAGCAGCAGAUUUUGUGGGAGGAAACACUUGAGAGGCGAUAUUGUCAACAGUAUUUGAAGGGUGUUAGCAGAAUAAAAGACAGCUUUAGUCA